GCGUCGCUGAUGACGUAAGGCGGCGGGGCCGAAGCAGUUCCGCUGGCUGGUGUGGACGCGGCGAGCCAGGCCCGGCGCCACCCGCUCGGCUCUUUCAGCGCCCGCUACAGCGGUCCGGACGCCGCCCGAACAUGGACUCCGCCGGCCAAGAUAUCAACCUGAAUUCUCCUAACAAAGGUCUGCUGUCUGAUUCCAUGACCGACGUCCCUGUCGGCACAGGUGUGGCUGCCCGGACUCCUGCUGUUGAGGGUCUGACAGAGGCUGAGGAGGAGGAGCUCAGGGCUGAGCUGACCAAGGUGGAAGAGGAAAUUGUCACUCUACGCCAGGUCCUGGCAGCCAAGGAGAGGCACUGUGGAGAGCUCAAGAGGAGGCUGGGCCUGUCCACCCUGGGGGGCUUGAAACAGAACCUGUCCCGGAGCUGGCAUGAUAUGCAGGUCUCUAACGCCUAUGUGAAAACUUCUGAGAAACUUGGAGAGUGGAAUGAGAAGGUGACCCAGUCAGACCUCUACAGGAAGACUCAGGAAACACUUUCACAGGCAGGACAGAAGACUUCAGCUGCCCUGUCCACGGUGGGCUCUGCCAUCAGCAGGAAGCUUGGAGACAUGAGGGCUCAUCCAUUCUCACACUCCUUUAGCAGCUACUCCAUCCGCCACUCAAUAAGUAUGCCGGCCAUGAGUGAGAUCUUGGGCUGUUGUUAGGGACCCUUUGGAGGCUGGCCCUCGCCCGAGGCCCUUCAGAGUUAGGAGGGCACCACCAUUUGCUCUUGACACCAGCACUCUUCCCUCUCUCUUUAAAGGAACUCUGCAACCUUCAAGUCAUUUGAGGACCGAGUGGGGACCAUAAAGUCUAAGGUUGUGGGUGACAGAGAGAAUGGCAGUGACAGCCUCCCGUCCUCAGCGGGGAGCGGUGACAAGCCCCUGUCGGAUCCCGCACCUUUCUAAGCCUGAGGUUGCUUCGCCCGCCGCAGAGCACACGCAACACACCCUCAGCAUCGCAGCCGCAGGCAGGCGGGUGAACAGAGCUGGCUUGGAGGACAGUCCUGCCCGUGCACACACAGACGCGGCUGCUGCGUUCGCAUGAAUUAGAGAACACGGUCUGUACACAGACGUUUCACACUAAAGUUUGUAGAUGAAGCAGAUCACUGUGCUGUGUCCUUCCUAGGGGUGCCGGAAGUGGACGGGGAGGAGGCUUCAGAGGAGCGAGCCAAAGCCCUGGCUCCCUUUGGGAAUCUUGCUAGCCCAUCAGUGUGGAAGGAUUGAAGAGUCCUAAGCAUAAAAUAGGUGGCAUUUUCUGACCUCUUCCUUCUCCUCCUUCCCUGACUCUCAGAAGGAAUGCAAUCACCCAGCAAGUCCUACCUGUUUGCAAUUUUAAAAUCUCAAAAUGCUGAACCAGAAAACUGUUUUCUGAGGCCCCCCCCAGAAAGGAAACUGAUCAGCAGCAGCUGCCUAAUUGUUCCACUAAUCUAGCUUUAACGGAAGCAAAUUCAUUAUUUUUUAAAUGCAGUGGACUUUUCAAAAAUUAAAACUAGGCAAAGCAGCUUUAGCCUCAUAGAGAAUAUUAUUUCUUCGGACUCAAGCUGAAAUACAAGCCUUACAUUGCCUUAUGCUUUAUUUCUUUGUAAUUUUUGUAUGUAUGUAGGUGAGGGUUCCUUAACGGCUGUGAGCACAGCGGGGCGUGUUACAGCAGCCUGCGUGGCAGCCUGUUCAGUUGGGUGUUUUAUUUCACGCUCACUCCAUCCCAGUGUACAAAACCUACCUGUCUUCUCAACCUUGGCCGAUCCCACUGGCUGCCCCGCUCUGCCCCAAAGAUCUUGAGCUGCUGGGGAUGGGAGGGGCCGGGAGAAGGAAAAGCUUGUCUUUAGCACCCCUUAAAGGAGCUGUGCCCCUUUACAGCACUGCCUCUGCAUGGGCCUGGCCCGGCUGGCUGGCAUUCGUCAGUGACUCCAGCCCGCCCAUUUGAAGCACUUCGGAUGAAAGGACCCCACAGGUCAGGUGGAGGGUGGGGCGCAGUCAUCAGCCAGGAUUGCUGUCGCCUCUUCUGAGCCACAAAGAUCUCUUGUUUUUAAGUGGUCAGACCCCGACAGCCUCUCUUACACCGGGGCCCCGUGUGUCAGGUGGUGUGGUCUACAGGGGCAGCUCUGUGCCUUACUGGCUCUUGGAAGGACGCUGAGGGUUUGCCUGCCGUGUACACGGCUCUGCCACUCCUGGGGGGAAGGGCUGCUCAGCUCAAGGUGCUCUGCUUACAGAGCCUGUGUCUUCUGACAGCCGUGUCCCCAGACAGUUCAGACACCCUUGGGGACGGCACUCCACACACGAUAAAGACGCAGGGGCUGGGGAACCCCGGCACUCGGUGUCCUUUGUCCAGGGUUAAAGUCGGCCUGUGGGAUGUGGUGAGAAGGCAGGCUGCACAGGUGUAACUGAUGUAUCUUUUCCUUAAAGUUGUAAUAAUGGGUAAUUUGUCAAUAAAGCAUUCCUUAGGGGAAAGUC
Molecule: non-coding RNA, 2486 nt
Organism: Saimiri boliviensis boliviensis (Bolivian squirrel monkey)
Lineage: Eukaryota; Metazoa; Chordata; Mammalia; Primates; Cebidae
Source: RefSeq, a predicted model, not a curated record